This 348-nucleotide ribosomal RNA is filed under the name uncultured bacterium. RNAcentral describes it as "bacterial SSU rRNA". It matches the Rfam family "Bacterial small subunit ribosomal RNA", at positions 448 to 793 of the family's 1533-position model. The record is from RNAcentral.
UAGUGUAGUUAACACCUGCACUAUUUGACGUUACCUACAGAAGAAGCACCGGCUAACUCCGUGCCAGCAGCCGCGGUAAUACGGAGGGUGCGAGCGUUAAUCGGAAUUACUGGGCGUAAAGCGCAUGCAGGCGGCCUGUUAAGUCAGAUGUGAAAGCCCGGGGCUUAACCUCGGAAUUGCAUUUGAAACUGGCAGGCUAGAGUCUUGUAGAGGGGGUAGAAUUUCAGGUGUAGCGGUGAGAUGCGUAGAGAUCUGAAGGAAUACCAGUGGCGAAGGCGGCCCCCUGGACAAAGACUGACGCUCAGAUGCGAAAGCGUGGGGAGCAAACAGGAUUAGAUACCCUGGUAG